UUGGAGUUGAUGAUUUUACCAAGAUUUAUAAAGAAACCGAGAAACUGAGUAUAAAUAAUCAGUCGAGUGACAACAGCGUGAAGAACAGUUGAGGAGGUAAAUUCCACGUAAAUGACAAAUUUUUUUUGUUUCGUCAUUGUCAAGUGAUGAAUGAAGAAGAAGAAUUGUCUGUUUAAUGUCAAGUUGAUUGUAAUACAUUGACAUUGUAAAUUGUGAAGAUAUCUUUUCUACCUUAAAGGUAGAAAAAUCAGACUCUGAUUUCACGUGGACUUUUUUUAUCCAGCUAUUCCAAAAAUUUUGAUUCUGUUGAUGAAUAACGAUCACGUCAUCUUGAUUAAGACGCACAGCAGUACCUGGUGUCAACAAUCCAUUAUUUUUACGCGCCAUUGUUGUUAAGGCUGUUGACCGGUUAAUCCUGAAUCAACCACAUUCAAGUCGCAUCAACAAUACAAAAAAAUACAAUGAAAUAGACUAGAUACUGACCUGGCUUCUAGAUGGAGACUUGUGACGAUGGCGAGACGAUUCUUGACUUGCGGAUGAUGAGGCCCGGUGUCGGUG
This is a long non-coding RNA of Chelonus insularis, 558 nucleotides long. RefSeq lists it as uncharacterized. The transcript is spliced from 3 exons. Lineage: Eukaryota; Metazoa; Arthropoda; Insecta; Hymenoptera; Braconidae. The record is from RefSeq and is a predicted model, not a curated record.